Molecule: RNA transcript, 7275 nt
Organism: Nerophis lumbriciformis (worm pipefish)
Lineage: Eukaryota; Metazoa; Chordata; Actinopteri; Syngnathiformes; Syngnathidae
Gene: wdr81
Gene name: WD repeat domain 81
Source: RefSeq, a predicted model, not a curated record
GCAGUCAACACCGUCGCUCUCCUACCCACUGACACGCAGCAGAUGACGCGGACAUGUCCUCCACCCGCGGCCCCAUUUUGGCAGAAGUAAACAUUCCUUUAAACUCGCAACGCCAAGCCGCGCGACUCUCCCGCUGUUAGCAUCAGGCGAGCUAGCCUCCUCCUGCUAGCUGUCAAGUGCUGCAAGUUGGCCGAGGACAUGUGUGAGAAGCAAAUACAUCUCCCCGUGUGGUCAAGGACACCUUCUUCGGUCUGUGUGUGAAAGUCGAUGAGCAAGUUGUAUUCCUGCAGAGGCUCACCAUGGAUUGGCUCGUCGGUGAAGUGGAAAAAGACUUCGGGAUCGACCGAAGGCAGCUGGGCUCCGGGCCUCGACCCCAUGAACUUGUUGCUCUGGUGCCCGCCCGCUGGCUGGCAGCCCUGAGGGAGAGAAAGCUCACGCGUCUUGCCUGCGCGGACAGCAUCAGCGAGGCGGAAAUUGUCACAUAUCUUCAGUGUUCACAGGCUAAGCCGCCCACUGGCUGGACACGAGUGUGCAUACAGGGUUUGAGGAAAAGCAAGCUGGACUACAGCCUGGUCAGAGACCCGUGUCUUCAACCAAGUGACACCACGACAAAGGACUCCUACGUGAGCACCAUGCAGCACGUGUCACAGCACAAUGUCAGGAAUCUGUGGCGUGAAGCCCAUUCUAAACGUGUGCAGCCAUACGCCAGAGCCACUGAGCAGAUGCAUGUUGCAGCUGUGGACGCAGUGAGACACGCACUGCAGAAGCUUUUUAACUCCACAUUCAUCUCAUGUGACAAAGUGUCCCAAUCCCUCUCUCCAGCCAGGGAGAAGGAGAAAGAAAACUUCUUGCCAUCCACUCUUUCAACUUCUGUAAAGCCCCACUCCGUCUGUCCCAAUGUUCUAACUGCAGAGUGUCUGCUGGAGACAACUGAGAUGCUCUACAUAGUUUUACCUUACAGUCAGUAUUCACUUUAUGACAUUGUCUCCUUCAGCCCAGCCAAGUUAGCCAAUAGUCAUGCCAAAGUUUUGUUCAUUCUGUACCAGUUGCUCACAGCCAUGCAGGCUUGUCACACUGCGGGAUUGUCCUGUGGAGAUCUCUCCUUGCUGGAUGUUGCAGUUGAUGAGAAGCUUUGCAGCCAUCUUAAACUCAACCUGGCCCAUUUUGAGGAACUGGGCACCAACGGGUCUACAAGCGAUGACGUCACUGCGAGGCAGAUGCCUAAAAGUGCCGUGGCAAGCGGAAGCGCCUGUUCAAGUCAGAACCAAAUGCUUUGCAAGGACUGCUUUGAUGACCUCAAGACUUUAGUUCUUGACUGGGUCCAUGGGCGGGUCAGUAACUAUCACUACUUGAUGGAACUCAACAGAUUAGCCGGACGGCGAGAAGGAGACCCAAAUUACCACCCUGUGCUGCCAUGGGUGGUUGAUUUUACUGUGCCAUUUGGAAAAUUCAGAGAUCUCAGAAGGUCCAAGUUCAGACUCAACAAAGGCGAUAAGCAGCUGGACUUCACCUAUGAGAUGACCAAAGAGGCUUUGGCAGCUGCAGUGGGAAAUGGCAUAGGUGGAGUUGGUGUAGCAGGAGACCUCAGUGGAUCUGUCAGUGCCAGUGGUGUCGGACAUUCAGACCACCUUCACGUACCUCAUCAUAUAUCUGAUGUGCUCUCUGACAUUACAUACUAUGUCUACAAAGCUCGGCAGACACCUAAAUCUGUGCUGUGCAGCCAUGUGAGGUCCCAGUGGGAGCCUAAUGAGUACCCCUCCAGUAUGGAACGCAUGCAGAGUUGGACCCCUGAUGAGUGCAUUCCCGAGUUCUACACUGAUCCAUCUAUUUUCCGCUCAAUCCACCCUGACAUGCCAGACCUCGAUGUGCCUUCCUGGUGCAAGUCCUGUGAGGUGUUUAUUGAGGUCCAUCAACGCCUCCUGGAGAGCAGGGAAGUGUCCCAGAACCUGCAUCAUUGGAUAGACCUCACUUUUGGCUACAAACUUUCUGGUAAAGAAGCAGUCAAAGCCAAGAAUGUGUGCUUGCACCUAGUAGAUUACCACACCAAUCUGACAACUUACGGUGUGGUCCAGUUGUUUGACCAGCCCCACCCACCUCGAUUAUCAGCUUCUCAGUAUGCUUCCGCCGAACCACCUUUUCUUGGCCUUGCUGCACUUAAUGUGCCUUCUCUACAUAUCCCACAAAUCAACACCGUAUCUGACUCUGUGGAUGGAAUGGUGCUGGAGUCCACAGGUUGUGAAUCCAGUGGCUGGACCAUGGUAGACAAAGAUGUAGAGCUUGAACAAGGUACAGAAGCCCUGGAUUCAUUAAUGUCCACCGGCUCAUCUAAUACUGCGUCGUCCUCUGUUCCAGCGGGAGGGAAGAUGGGAGACACCGCACUUGUAUCGCAGUCCCCUACCUCUUCCUCUGGUGACGUUACAAGCAGUUUGGGCCCAGGCUUACGCAAUGUCAUGCUCCAAAGAAGUGGACCAGCCAAUAAAAAACACGGGGAGGGAAGUGUGACCACCUCCAAUGCUGAGGACGUCAAGAUCAUUCUUCCUGAGGGUUUCAGCCCCCUGCAACCUUUGGAAGAGCUGGAGAAGUUAAACAACUUUCUCGUGAAGAGUUUGCAUGCCCGAGUGUCGCAGCCACCUGCAGCUAGUGAAGCCACAAAUGAAGUUGAGUUGAUCGAAACUCCACCCUCUUUCACACAGCUCUACCAAAGAGAUAUGCAGGCCCUUGGCGUACUCAUUGCGGAGAUAUUUUACUCCUCGAAAGUGAGAGGGUUGAUACCAGGUGCCCCCCUCAGACAACGUUUCUGUGCUGUCAUGGAAAUGUGCUCCGUUGGCCUUCGUGAUAUUCCACUCCCUUUACAUUAUGCUCUUCAGAGACUGCUACUAAUAGAAAAGCACACCCAAACAUAUCUUAAAGUCACGGGUCAUUGUCCACGUCCGCUUCUUUUUAACUAUGAUGCCAUCUGUGAUGGCCUUCCGCCUCCAAACCCUGCCCAGUUACUGAAUACAUUCAUUACCCCGUUUCCUUUCCCUUCAUAUUUUGCAGCACUCCAUCGCUUUAUUGUUUCGUACCACGACAAGAUGGAGACUGUGUGUAGCCUUCAAGGAAGAGAUGUGGUCUUCCAUUUGUGGCAGCAGUUAGAAACGCUUUUGCGAACCAAUAUCACAGCCGAGGGCCUUGAGAUUCUCUUGCCCUUCAUUCUGGCCAUUAUGCUUGAGGAGUCCACUUCUGUUUAUGCAGCUUGGUACUUGUUUGAGCCGAUUUCAAGAGUCCUGGGUCCUAGGAACGCAAACAAGUUUCUUCUGAAGCCACUAGUCAGCGUUUAUGAAAACCCCCACUGCCUGCGGGGACGUUUUUAUCUGUACACCGACUGUUUCGUUCUGCAGCUCAUCAUGAGGCUCGGCCUGCAGGCCUUUCUCUCCAACUUGCUUCCCCAUGUGCUGCAGGUCCUCACUGGCUUCGAAAGCUGUUCAUCUGGUUCUGCCGGAGAGAUUUGUAAAGGGAUGCGUAGUGGAACUUGCAACCUAGGAGAGGAGGAGGAAGAGGGCUUUCAGGCUGGUGAUGUGCGCUCCUCCUCUGGGUCAGUCAGCGGGAACAUAAGCGGUGGCAACGGGGCUAGCGGAGGUGUCGGUGCUGGGGGGGAAACUGGGCUGGUUGACUACUCCUCAGGCAUCAGUUUCAAUGAUCAGGUGUUUCUCUCAGAGUCGGAGGACUUUCAAAAUGAGUUCUACAUUAACAAUGGAACAGGGUGCGACAGUGGGAAACAGCCAGGGCAGAACUCUACAGCUAAGGACCAAGACCAAGAGUCUUUGAGCAUGGGUAAACUAAGCGACAAAAGUAGUACAAGCGAACUCUCAUUAGGCGACGGGGACUCAAUGCGUGAUCGAGCUAGUCUCAAAUCGGCCGACAGCAGCCAGGAUCUCAAACAAGCCAGCGAGGGAGAAGAGGGCGGAGAGGUGGAUGAUGUGGAGAUGACGGAGGCUAAUGAUUGUAAACUUCAGGAAGAUGACCCUUCCACCCCCAAGUUGGAGCUGUCUUUCUCUGGUUGCACAGACGAUUCAGGGGCUACUCUCACAACUCUGGAAAAUGAGUUUGUGAACAGAAUGGUGCUGGAGGAAGCAGAGAAACAUAUUAUGGGGGAGCAGGAGGAAGAGGCAGAGCAUGAGCCAUCAGAGGACUCGCAGGAGAAAGAGCAAAAAAUUCUCUUAGAUACAGUCUGCAAAACAGUCCGCUGGCUCUCCGCCAAACUUGGACCAACUGUGACGUCUCGAUGCGUGGCCAGGAACUUGCUGCGAUUACUCACAAAUUGCUACAUCGACCCCGAGAGCCACCAGUUUGUUACUCCUGGACCUGAAGAGACUAAUCUAGAGAGCGUGGGAAUGGGCAGCGUGUAUGAGAAGAGACCUGUUGUGGGAGACGAGACAGCCGGGCCUGUGUUAGACUGUCUCAUUUACAUCGCUCAGCUUUACGGAGAACCUGUACUCACGUAUCAGUACCUGCCCUAUAUAGGAUACCUGGUGUCUCCACCCUCUUCGCAGCGUCUCAACACGCGUAAGGAGGCCAGCCUGCUGGGUGCUGUUGCACUUACAAAGAAGAUCAUUGUCUUUCUUUCUGAUACCACGCUCAUGGACAUGCUCAUGAAAAUUAACCAGGAUGUACUUCUGCCACUUCUGGACCUGCUUACCAACCCCCACCUGGGGUUCCCCAGCGGGGGGCAGUGUCGCACAGCUGUGUGUCUCAAGACACUCAGCCUGAUGGCCCUCAUCUGCCUUCGCAUUGGGAGGGAGAUGGUGCAGCAGCAUAUGGCAGACACGCUGCGCCAGUUCUUUGCCAUUUUCUCCUUGCUACAUUUUCUGCAGCCCCAGAUUGGAGGUGCCCCCCGCAGAGUUGUAGGAGAGGUGACGGUGGUGGACGUCAGGACACCUACAAAGUCCAGUGAGACCUAUGAGUUGGCCGUCUUGGAGGAACUGCAAAGUGUGUUUAGCACAGAGAUGGCACAUGCUUCCUACAUCCCGUUUUACUGCCUCAUUGGUGAUGUCGCAAUCCGGAAACUGGUACCCAACCAUGAACUGGUCUGGCAGCUGGCGUCUUCAUACCAUCAGAGUGUCAGUCAAGACUUCGUAGAAGGAAACGCUGUUUCAAGAGUGGACUUGCCUUCAGUCUCCAUGGGGGUCUCCUCUGAUUUUAGCAGGCCCCCAGGGUGCAGUGCUUUCCCCUCACCUUUAAUUAGCUCAACCACAUUUGGAGACCCACUCCCAGAAUCAGGAACCUUUGGGAGCCAUCUGGUAGGAAAUCGUAUCCAAGUGUCAAGGGAGUCUUAUCAUAGUGGUAGCCCUAAUAUGGGUUUGACCGGCUCUUGGGGACGCUCCAACCAUACCGUGCCCAGUAACACUUCUGCCUCUGCUGUCACCACUUCAUCCAUCAGCACCGCACCCUUUCCCUCAUCCUGGGUGACCGGACCUCCUCCAGAGGAUAGCGCGCUGAAACAGGAACUGGCUCGCAGUGGCCGUUCCUUGCAGGGCAACUGGCUGGCCUAUUGGCAGUACGAAAUCGGCCUCAACCAGCAAGAUCCUCAUUUCCACUUCCACCAGAUCCGUCUGCAGAGCUUCCUGGGUCACUCAGGCGCUACAAAGUGUUUGGCACCACUGGCGGGCGAGGAUUACUUCCUCUCUGGUGGUAAAGAUAAGACUGUGAAGCUUUGGCCCCUCUAUAAUCGCGGCGACGGGACACAGGAAGUGGAACCAAGGCUUACAUAUACCGACCACCGCAAGUCAGUGUUCUAUGUUGGACAACUGGAAGCUUCGCAAGAGGUGGUCAGCUGUGAUGGAACCGUGCACCUGUGGGAUCAGUUUACUGGGAAACAGAUCCGCUCAUACGAAGCAGUGGAUGGGAAGAAUCCAAUUACAGCUGUCACCACCAUGCCUGCACCACACUGCAGCGUCGUAUUUGCAAGUGCAGACGCCGUUCUCCGCUUCAUUGACCCUCGCAAACCAGGACUGCAGCAUGAAUUUCGCCUGGUGUACAGCAACAUAAACAACGGUCUCAUCCGAUACUUGGCUGUUAGCCCUACAGGACGCACAGUUGCGGCGGGUUUCUCCUCUGGCGUCAUAGUUCUACUAGAUGCACGCACAGGCCUUGUUCUGAGGCGCUGGCUCGCUCACGAGGGAGAUAUCCUACAAAUGAAGGCUGGAGAAGGAAACUUGAUCGUCAGUUCGUCCACUGACUACACCCUCGCCGUGUGGAAAGAUCCGGAGCAGAAACCGCUCCGCCAGUACAAGUCACAGUCCGACCCCAUUCACGCCUUCGACUUUUACGGCUCGGAGAUCGUAACGGGAACCAUGGCCAAUAAAAUCGGCAUCUACUCCGCGCCGGACAUCUCACUGAGCCCCGUGAGCAGCACCAAGCUGAGCUCCGAGAACUUCCGGGGAACCCUGACCAGCCUGGCCGUGCUGCCCACCAAGAGGCUUUUGCUCCUGGGCUCGGACAACGGCGCCAUCCGUUUGCUGGCAUGAUCACGAGCCUCCGACCUACAUUUUGAGGCAGCAACUUGACCACCUUGUUGAAAAUGCUCAUGCACAGUAAGUCCUGUACAUUUGUAAAAGAACUACUUUUGGACCUGCUAUGUUCUGCUCCAACACAUGAACCAGAAAACUAGCUCAGGAAAGAACAAAACAGACCUGCUUCUUUUGUAGUCUCUGUCCAAAUAGACGUAUAUACAGUGUUUCACCCCACACAAUUCACAUUUCAGCAACAAUUUUAUAUCUUUUUUUUUAUAUUGUGUCAAUAUUUAGUGUAAGCACCAAUGUCAUGUAGCACUGCCUUAACCCUCUGGAGCUUGGAACUCAUCAGCGCUCUACAGGUUGUUACUGGAAUCCUCUUCCAUGGUGACGUCCUCCACCUUCUGCUUGAGGAUGCCCCACAGGUGCUCAGUUUCUGAACAAUGUCGAGCAGUUUAGCGACAUUGAACUCGGAGCAUAAGGUCAGUCAAUGCCAAGGUCAACAGUUUUUGUACUUUUAACAUUUCUAUGAAAAUACACAAAUUGUUUAAUAAUUGUAGAGAAAAUGCACAAACGGGUGGCCUGGGUUUCACUUUAGUUCCUUUGUAUUGUCGAACUGUGUUUUUCAUACAUUUCUGAUGAUUCGCUCCAAGCUCACAAUAAUGCUCUGACAUGUUUUUAACUUCCUCAACAAUCCGGCUCUGAUCAGUGAUGUUUUAAGCCUUCCAUUCGACCAUUUUAGCCGUCUACGAUAACCUUUAUCAUUAGGAUAAAUAAAGAAAAU